UGUGAGUGGAAAGAUAAGUGCGGGUGAAGCACUUGAUGGAGUUGUAAAAAUAUUCGCUAUUUUAGUUACCAUUGUGGUUGUUGCUGUCCCUGAAGGGCUUCCUUUGGUUGUUACCUUAACCCUAGCUUACUCCAUGAGGAAAAUGAUGGCAGACAAGGCCUUGGCAAGUAUCUUGAUCAUUAUUUUGUGCUUAUUGCACGAUGGUUGUUCUGAAGACCAUGCAGUAAUCAAAUACAAAAUUUUAUUAUGCCUCCUCCA
Molecule: long non-coding RNA, 258 nt
Organism: Diospyros lotus (date-plum)
Lineage: Eukaryota; Viridiplantae; Streptophyta; Magnoliopsida; Ericales; Ebenaceae
Exons: 3
Source: RefSeq, a predicted model, not a curated record